Molecule: ribosomal RNA, 198 nt
Filed under: uncultured bacterium
Lineage: Bacteria
Description: partial 16S ribosomal RNA
Rfam family: Bacterial small subunit ribosomal RNA
Source: RNAcentral
AAAGCGGGGGCUCUUCGGACCUCGCGCUAUGAGAUGAGCCUGCGUUAGAUUAGCUAGUUGGUAGGGUAAAGGCCUACCAAGAUCUAUAGCUGGUCUGAGAGGACGAUCAGCCACACUGGGACUGAGACACGGCCCCUACGGGAGGCAGCAGUGGGGAAUAUUGGACAAUGGGCGCAAGCCUGAUCCAGCAAUACCGCG